Molecule: ribosomal RNA, 279 nt
Filed under: Triticum aestivum (bread wheat)
Lineage: Eukaryota; Viridiplantae; Streptophyta; Magnoliopsida; Poales; Poaceae
Description: partial small subunit ribosomal RNA
Source: RNAcentral
AUGAAGAUACCUCUUAAGAAUAAAAUAUUUGCAGAGUAUCUUCGUCGCGGAAUCACUUUUAUUAAAGAUAACCUUAUCAAGAGGAAUUGGCAUGGAAGUCCGCAAUGUGUUUUUUGUCAUCAUGAUGAGACAAUAAAACAUUUAUUCUUCCAAUGCAAAUUGGCUCGGUCUAUAUGGUCAGUCAUCCAGAUAGCUUCUGACUUGUAUCCUCCUUGUAGUGUUGCCAAUGUAUUUGGCAACUGGGGAUUGAUCACAGGUUUAGAACUCUUCGUAGGGUGA